AUAAAUUGUGCAGUGCUAGGUGUAGCAAAUCAUUGCUUAUGAAAUCUACUGUGUUAUCUAAUAGAACCAAACUAAUAGAGCUAUCACAUAACUGAGAAACUUGUGUGGCUUAUUACAAAUGGAUGAAACCACAUAUUACCUUAAUGAAGACAGUAAUCUUUAAUAAGGUGUAGAAAAAAAGAGAAGAAUUUUUGUUUAUAUUCCAGCUGUGGUAAACAAAGAAGUGUACUGAAUCUUUUGGACUACACAGAGUGAUGUAGUGUUGACUCUGAUGCUGAUCUGAGUUGUCUCACUCUGUAUUUUUGUGCUUUGUCUUUUGUUACACAGAGUGAAAGAGAUCUUUGGUUUUGCCUUUGCUGACUGCUGAUCUGAUCGUCUCAAGUCUGGUGACCUGCUGCAGAAAACCCUCUCCCUCUAUCAUUAUCAAGCAAUUCUGUCUAUCCUAUCACUCUCCCAACUCUAUCUAAUUUGACAGCCAUUCUAUCUUGUAUCACUCUAUCCCAACUGCUCUAUCUAAUUUGACAGCCAUUCUAUCUUGUAUCACUCUAUCCCAACUGCUCUAUCUAAUUUGACAGCCAUUCUAUCUUGUAUAAAUCUAUCCCAAGCACUCUAUCUCGUUUUCAGAAAUCUAAGUCUUCAGAAAUCCCAGUUUUCAGAAAUCCCAGUCUUCAGAAAUCUAAGUCUUCAGAAAUCUAAGUCUUCAGAAAUCUAAGUCUUCAGAAAUCUAAGUCUUCAGAAAUCCCAGUUUUCAGAAAUCCCAGUCUUCAGAAAUCCCAGUUUUCAGAAAUCCCAGUCUUCAGAAAUCCAAGUUUUGAAAAAUCCAAGUCUUCAGAAAUCCAAGUUUUGAAAAAUCCAAGUCUUCAGAAAUCCAAGUUUUGAAAAAUCCAAGUUUUGAAAAAUCCAAGUUUUUGGCAAUUGAAGUUACCAGAACUUUAUCAAUCUAUAUUCAGAAUUCUGAGAGAUCUCCACUCUCACUGCUCCUCCUUUCCUGUCAUUAAACUCUCUCUCCAUUCAUUUUGCUGGAAAAUAACAAUUAGAAAGUUGAAUAUACAGUAGUAGAAUUGCAGUGCAGUAGAACUUAUAGUAGAAACUACUUAUACAGCCCUACAUUUGUAGUUUUAACUUGGCAUUACACUUUGGAAUAAACACUGAUAGUUUGGCUUACUGGUGCAAUUACUUUGAUACAUUAUAUAAAAUAUACACCUUUUUAUAAGGUUUAUUUGUAAUAAGAUAAUCUGACUAUUCUAUAAUAUAUUCAGAGUGCUAUAUUCACAUAAAUAUUAAAUUUGAUUCAAAUACAUUUUUCAAGUCUGUUUCGUUGGCUAUAACAUUUGACUACAAGUUUAUACUAUUAUUAUCGAAGGACAAACCCUUUUUGUCACUCAGUGUAAGUGUUCAGUUACAAUUGUCAUCUAGAGGCUGCCCUGUGAACCCAGACUUCCUGUUUCCUGACUGCUGCAGAACAUCCAGCUGAAGAAUCCCCAUCGCCUGUCAUCUGAUCACCACACCAUCACAGCUCCUUAUAUUUGCUUUAAAUUUUAAAUAUCUGAAACAUUUACACAAAGUCUACUUAAAAGCUAAGAUUUUUUAUCAUAGCCUGUUGAUUGAUUGUUGAGAUUUAUUCUGCAUAUUACUUUACAGAAGUAUAGACCUAUUUGUUAUCCAGUCUGGUUAAAAAAAUAUAAGAAGUUGUAAUAUACAGUUUUUGAAAAAGUUACAAUAAAACAGACCAAAGUGU
Long non-coding RNA from Oreochromis niloticus (Nile tilapia), 1738 nucleotides. RefSeq lists it as uncharacterized. The transcript has 3 exons. The record is from RefSeq and is a predicted model, not a curated record. NCBI's taxonomy places the organism in Eukaryota, Metazoa, Chordata, Actinopteri, Cichliformes, Cichlidae.